GAUGAACGCUGGCGGCGUGCCUAAUACAUGCAAGUCGAGCGAAAAGACGAGGAGCUUGCUCCUCUGACGUUAGCGGAGGGCGGGUGAGUAACACGUGGAUAACCUACCUAUAAGACUGAGAUAACUUCGGGACACCGGAGAUAAUACCGGAUGAUAUAUUGAACCAUGUGGUUCAAUGGUGAAAGACGGUUUUGCUGUCUGUAAUAGAUGCAUACGCGCCGCAUUGGCUAGUUGGUAAGGUAACGGCUUACCAAGGCAACGAUGCGUAGCCGACCUGAGAGGGGGGUCGCCCACACUGGAACUGGGACACGGUCCAUACUCCUACGGGAGGCAGCAGUAGGGAAUCUUCCGCAAUGGGCGAAAGCCUGACGGAGCGAGCCCGCGUGUGUGAUGAAGGUCUUCGGAUCGGAAUGCCCGGUUAUGAGGUAAGAACAAAUUUGUAAGUAACUAUGCACUUCGUGACGGUACCGAAUCAGAAAGCCACGGCUAACUACGUG
This 497-nucleotide ribosomal RNA is filed under the name uncultured bacterium. RNAcentral describes it as "partial 16S ribosomal RNA". It matches the Rfam family "Bacterial small subunit ribosomal RNA", at positions 28 to 507 of the family's 1533-position model. The record is from RNAcentral.